ACACCUUGAUCUCGGACUUCCAGCUUCCAGGAUUGUGAGCAAAUAAAUUUCUGUUGUUUAAGCUGUCCAGCCUGUGGUACUUUGUUACGGCAGCCUGAGCUGAUACAAACGUGAAGCAUAAAGUAAGCAUGCUCUUGUAACUCUCUACAUAUACUCCACGCAUACCUGCCAUAUACUACUCUAGGGUGGUUUUCAGUGGCCUGUGGACCUGCACCAUGAGACUCACACAUGCAUGUUUACAAAUGUGAUCCUGAACAUCUGAGCGACUUUCAGGGACACUUGUCUUGGGGUUCAAGGGCUGAGGUGCCCUCAUUUGCAGUCUGCUGUACACGUGGUCCUCAAGUGACCCACCUCAAGUGGUGUGUUUGCUGAUGAUGUGGCCUCAGAGAGGACAUCAUCCAUGAUCUCACCAGAAACCUACAGCAAGUGCCCUUUAGAAAGCUUUGUCGCCAGUUCCUUCGCCUUCUCCAUGGUCAUCAGAAGAGCUACCCCAAGUGGGACAGCUGGAUCAACCCACUUAUGCACAAAGUCUUCACCUGGGUUCUGUCCCAGGAGAUCAGAAGACUGUGACCAUCAAAGCAAUGGCGUCCAGGGAGCAAAGGCCGGAUCUGGUCUUGGGGGAGGGGCAAAAGCUUCUCACUCCCUGAUUGGUCAAGAAACAGCCACCUGAGAGGUGAGCAGGUCUAAGGACCCAAGCAUGUUCAAACGACCAGUGUAAGAAUGUCAACCCUAAAUCAUUAGGCUCCUCAUUUACAUUACAUUCUAUUUACUAAUUUGUCAGUCUGUGCUGUUAUCAUGCAAGAAUUUAUUCAAUCCAAACAGCAUAUCUGCAGGAGGUUAGCAUUCACCAGGUCAAGUUGAGUAUUUUGCUCCAUUGCUCAAGUCUGCAGAAAAACCAGAAGUCACAAAUUUACAUGCUCAUAGAGUUUUUCAUGCCCCUUAUUUGAAAAUGGUAAAUUGACUAUAGUCAGAAAAUCAGUAAGUGAAAGAGAAAAAAAAGCUCAAUUUAUAAUGUUGCUAAAACUUGUAACAUUCAGAAAUUUGGAAUUGCUUCAUUGGAUGUUUUUCAACGAAUUUUCUCUAUAAACUAAAAUAAGUUACUUAGCCUCCUUUCUAUUAAAGGAAGUUCUCCAGAUGUUAGUUUAGAAGCUGAUGGGAGUGUUGAAGAAUUAUUAAUGAGCAGUUCAAGGAUAACAGCUUUCCAUCAGGAUUCCAAUGGCUCCUGUGCUGUGGGUAGUGACUUUCUCGCUGUGCCAGUCUCCUGAACCCAGUGGGGUGUCAGAGAGAAACGGGGUGCCCCACUUCCCAUUCACGAGCCGAUGAUUCAGCCUCCGACCUUAAAAUGACUUACAGGUGACUGAGACCGUCUUAAUUUUGAAUGCGUUAUGCUGUCCUUGAGGAGGAAGCACGGUGGCAACAGGAGGCGACCCAGACUCAGUGAGAAUCCCGGCGCCUGCCAUCUCUGCUGGUUCACAUUCACGCUAGGACUCUGUGUCCUCGUCUGAAAAAUCAGGAUGGACUUGGUUAUCUAUUGCUGAAUCACAAAAUCAACCCAGCACUUAGGGGCUGUAACAGUAACAGUAUUAUUAACAGUCUCUCUCCUCAUUGUAGCGGUGCAGUGGGCCAGGCUGGGCAAGUCUCACUCAGGUCUCCGGGGUCUGGUGUCUGGAGCCGGAGAGGACGAGCUCCCAAGAGCUGAUUGUUAAAUUGUCAGGAAUUUUGCCAGCCAGUUGGUAAACACAGGCAUCAUUAAAAAUUAAAUUAUAUAAACUUACAAUUAAAUAAAUCAUAUUAAAAACAGAGGCAAUAAAUUCCCAAAACCUAUCAGUUCCAAAUUAUUUUACUCUAUAUUACUAUUAUUUAUGCCCCCAAGGUUAUUUCCAUCUCUUGCAUCCGUAUGUGGAAAUACCAUAUACUGGUGUGCUCUUGGGCAUUUCUUCCCAACUUUGUGUACAACGACACCAUGCUGGUAGCUUGACUCUGGCCGUGAUGGAAGUAUUUACUCCACAGAAGUUGGCCAGUGCUGCAAAUCAGGGUUUUAAAUUUUUUUCCAGAAAGCAAGCUGUUGAACACUUACCAGCACCGCUGGCUAUCCUUUAUUAGAAGAUAGUGGUCACACUGAGCAAGAGCAGGUGGGAUGGGACACAUACAUUGAAGUGACCGUCUUUGAGAAACACGACCUAUCCCCAGGAAAAUGGAAGGAUUGUAGCGGAGAUUAGACAUAAUUUAUGCAAAGUUGUUUCACUUAGUACCAGAGACGUUGAUUCCUAAUAAAUUGCAGCUAUUGUGAUUACACACCUGACUGUGCUCAGCAUGGCAGAGAACCUCUAGGAAGGGCUUUUCCAUGUGCUGACAUCCCACCACUAGGCAGUGAGCUACUUGAGGGAAAGGGCUGGCAUCUUCAUUCACCCGUAUCCCUGAAGCCCAGCACACAAGGUGCGGACUCAUUAAAUCUCUGUUGAAUGGAUGAGAAAUCUCGUGGCCAUCUAGAAGCUCAUCCCAAGCAGCUGAUGGAGGCCUCAGGCGCUUACAAAGCUGGAGCUGUUGAGCACACAAGCUAUUCCAGCUGCAGAAGUCUCUAGCAUUAUCUUGUGGGUAUUCCGUCCAUUUUGCAUGCAGGCAUCACUGGCUGGGUCUGCAGCCUGAAGAACGCCACGCCACUUCUGCCUACUCCUUGCCUGCCACAGCAUUCUCAGCACCACCUCUGGCUUCCCUUCCCUAACCCAGGCUGAUUUGGGAGCCCAGCCCCGAGCUCCCUCUGACCUGUGCUGAAGAGCAGAUUUACUAAUUGGCUUCUCAACUAGACUCAGCUGCAAGUGAGAGGAGAUCAGACACAACUGCUCUCCAUGUGGAGAUUUCUACAGAAACCCUCGAGAUGAGGUGGCCCCAGGGCCUGGGUCAUCUAUCACUUUGUCCCCCCAUUCUGGGCUGGCCCUUCCUGGUCGGGGACAUGCCUGCCACAGCUCCAGCCUGCACCCCCUCACAACAAUGGCCAAAGGCCGCAGAAGGGAAGGUGACAUGCCCCAUGUUUGGUCACACAUUAAGUCCCCAGAGCAGACUUAACUCGUAUUUUACUGGUCAGCAUUCUGCAGACACCCUUCUGAAUCAACCACUGCCAUGUAGACCCAUGAUCAACUUCACCCAGAGUCCUUGUCGGGUGGAGGAAGCUCCACUUGCCCUGAGGCACAGGGCCACAGUUUCCUGAACAAAAUCGGGCAUCUCUUGGCAAGGAAGACGGAGGGGAGGGCUGCUGGCGCCUCGGGACAGUGGCGCCGUUAGGUCUGUAGGGGCUGGAUGGGCACUUCC
Molecule: long non-coding RNA, 3306 nt
Filed under: Equus caballus (horse)
Lineage: Eukaryota; Metazoa; Chordata; Mammalia; Perissodactyla; Equidae
Description: lncRNA (ENSECAG00000046874.1)
Source: RNAcentral